Molecule: non-coding RNA, 2211 nt
Organism: Cricetulus griseus (Chinese hamster)
Lineage: Eukaryota; Metazoa; Chordata; Mammalia; Rodentia; Cricetidae
Source: RefSeq, a predicted model, not a curated record
GGCACCAGAUCUCAUAAGGGAUGGGUGUGAGCCACCAUGCGGUUGCUGGGAAUUGAAUUCAGGCCCUCGGGAAGAGCAGCCAGUGCUCUUAACCUCUGAGCCAUCCCUCCAGCCCCGAGUUUGUAUCCUUUUUAAGGAUAAUAUUUGUCUCAUCUUAGGCUUUAUGCACACAAAGAAACUCCAGUUCUAAGCCCUUGCUCUGAAAUGUAAAUACAUUAUCUUCCAUGGACACCAGAGCACCACAGAGCCCCUCAGCAGGGCUUGUACAAAUGUCUUAGUAAAGCUUUUUUUUUUUUUUUUCUGCCACGGGCACAAGUCCAAGUUCUAGUUUUACUUUCAUUAUUCAGAGUCCAGAGUGCUUACCAUUACACUAUGGAACCCGUAUCAACUUUCAUUAUUCGAGUACAGAAGAUCUGGUGGGGAAGUGGAAGAGAAGGAAGGACAGUGAUCAGGAAGCCUUAGGCAUGAGAGUGGCUGCAGGGGUGAGAAUGGAAAGUACUCAAUCCCACGAAUGCAGAGAUGCUCAUGUGAGGAGGGACUGCAAGGUUUCAGAUGUGACCUAAAAGGACAGAAGGAAUGUGAAGACUUACGCUUUUUAUAAAUUUUCAUAAUUUUAUGAAAAGUCUUGUGAAUACCAGCCCUGAAUCACUGGAACUGAGAUGUACCCCUGAUAGGUAGAAAGUACAUUCAGGAACAAAAUUUUCUUACUUUGUACAGCUAAAUCUCAAGAUUUAAGCUCCACCCCAUUUCUUUGGCCGUUAAACAAACCCUUUAAAGAACCUCAGGAAGACUUCAGGUUCAUUUUGAAUGGUGGUUCUCAACCUGUAGGGCAUAACCCCUUCGGGGGUCACAUAUUAGAUAUCCUCUAUAUCAUAUUUACAUUAUGAUUUAUCAACAAUGGCAAAAUUAUAGUUAUAAAGUAGCAAUGAAAUAAUUUUAUGGUUGGGGGUCACCACAACAUGAGGAGCUGUAUUAACAUGAGGGCUGAAGCAUUAGGAAGGUUGAGAACCACUGAUUUAGAGAGUAGGGUAGAAGUUGCUUGUUCUGCUGCUAGGAGGGAAAAGUUCCCAGUCAAUUCUAAGUGGAGGAGGAAGGAGGAAGGGAGAUGGAUUGAGGUUGACUUUCGGUAAAGUACCAAUUAGCAUCUAUUCAUCUGUGAGAUGCCACUAUGACAAUGGUGAAAGCUCAAAAAUGAAGGCAAGAAAGAAAACUGGGAAAUGAAAAGUGUGCACAUGUUAGGGACAUAUGAGCAUAAAAGCUAAAUUCUAUGCAUAAAGUAACACUUAAAACUAAAAAAAAUCAAUGAAUAAACAACACUUUAAAAAACAGAAAAGCUCAGCAUGGUGAUCCAUGCUUUUGAUCCCAGCACUUGGGAAGCAGAGGCAGACAGCUCUGAGUUUGAGGCCAGCCUGGUAUACAUAGUGAGUUCCACAAAAGCUAGGGAUAUGUAGAGAGACCCUGUCUUGAAACAAAUAAACAAAUAAUAAAAAGCUGAAUACCAAUUAAAACAAAGUAGCCUCUAGGGAGUAGGAGGUAGAUAGGCUGUUAGUUGAACUAUUUGACUUAAAAAAAUCAUACUUCUGAGAAAUCAUUCUAAUUAAAUCUACGUGAAUGAAUGGUAUACAAUCAGUAAAGGAAGCCUUGUCCUGACCUGAGACAGCCAGGUUUCAGAGCAAGGAGAGGAGGCCUCCAUACCCACACUGUUGGAUUCCAAAAUGAGGGUCACUGCACAGAGAAGAUUCACGUUAGCAUUGAAGACUGUGAGUUCCACAAAGAGGACUUUCGUGCUCUGAUCCAGCCAGUGCCUCUGCUCCAGAUGCCGAAGAACUCUGGAGACACAGGGAAACAGAGCCAUCUACUUUCUCCAUCCAAGGUUGUCAUGGAGGACAGUACCCUGGCACUGCCACAGACCACAGGAGAAGCCACAUUGCUUGAUUUCGGGCUCCUAUAAACUACUUCAAGACUUGUAACACCCAAACUCUCACAGUGACAACAUGGAUGGUUAACUUAGAAACCAGGUGUUCACAGUCCUGCUCACACCAAGGUUAAGAGACUGAGGGAACACUAUUUGGCAUUUAAUCUGCAAGGUAGGAUUAAUUUCAUGAGCUCCAUCAACUACUAUUUGAAACAUUAAAUACUCUGUACCAACACCUAUCCAGUACCAAGAGGUAAAAGAAGUAUAGAAGUAUAAAUGCCAUUAUAUGAUUGACA